GACGAACGCUGGCGGCGUGCUUAACACAUGCAAGUCGAGCGGUAAGGCCCUUUCGGGGGUACACGAGCGGCGAACGGGUGAGUAACACGUGGGUGACCUGCCCUCAGCUCUGGGAUAAGCCUGGGAAACCGGGUCUAAUACUGGAUAUGACUCCAUGACGCAUGUUGUGGGGUGGAAAGCCUUGUGCGGCUGAGGAUGGGCCCGCGGCCUAUCAGCUUGUUGGUGGGGUGANGGCCUACCAAGGCGACGACGGGUAGCCGGCCUGAGAGGGCGACCGGCCACACUGGGACUGAGACACGGCCCAGACUCCUACGGGAGGCAGCAGUGGGGAAGUCUUGCGCAAUGGGCGAAAGCCUGACGCAGCGACGCCGCGUGAGGGAUGACGGCCUCGG
This 392-nucleotide ribosomal RNA is filed under the name uncultured bacterium. RNAcentral describes it as "bacterial SSU rRNA". It matches the Rfam family "Bacterial small subunit ribosomal RNA", at positions 28 to 420 of the family's 1533-position model. The record is from RNAcentral.